UUAUGGCCAUAUCACGUUGAAACACCGUUUCCCAUACGAUCACCGUAGUUAAUCAAAGUUGAGCCUGCCAAGUACUUAGAUGGUUGACCAGUUAGGAAACUUGGUGAUGUAA
This is a non-coding RNA of Acanthosepion pharaonis, 112 nucleotides long. NCBI's taxonomy places the organism in Eukaryota, Metazoa, Mollusca, Cephalopoda, Sepiida, Sepiidae. The record is from the annotation of a GenBank genome assembly.